RNAcentral lists this ribosomal RNA (497 nucleotides) under uncultured bacterium. RNAcentral describes it as "partial 16S ribosomal RNA". It matches the Rfam family "Bacterial small subunit ribosomal RNA", at positions 28 to 507 of the family's 1533-position model. The record is from RNAcentral.
GAUGAACGCUGGCGGCGUGCCUAAUACAUGCAAGUCGAGCGAACGGACGAGAAGCUUGCUUCUCUGAUGUUAGCGGCGGACGGGUGAGUAACACGUGGAUAACCUACCUAUAAGACUGGGAUAACUUCGGGAAACCGGAGCUAAUACCGGAUAAUAUUUUGAACCGCAUGGUUCAAAAGUGAAAGACGGUCUUGCUGUCACUUAUAGAUGGAUCCGCGCUGCAUUAGCUAGUUGGUAAGGUAACGGCCUACCAAGGCAACGAUGCAUAGCCGACCUGAGAGGGUGAUCGGCCACACUGGAACUGAGACACGGUCCAGACUCCUACGGGAGGCAGCAGUAGGGAAUCUUCCGCAAUGGGCGAAAGCCUGACGGAGCAACGCCGCGUGAGUGAUGAAGGUCUUCGGAUCGUAAAACUCUGUUAUUAGGGAAGAACAUAUGUGUAAGUAACUGUGCACAUCUUGACGGUACCUAAUCAGAAAGCCGCGGCUAACUACGUG